UCACAAGAGGAAGCCAAGUGGUGGAUGGAA
Molecule: non-coding RNA, 30 nt
Filed under: Homo sapiens (human)
Lineage: Eukaryota; Metazoa; Chordata; Mammalia; Primates; Hominidae
Source: RNAcentral